This 495-nucleotide ribosomal RNA is filed under the name uncultured bacterium. RNAcentral's name for it is "partial 16S ribosomal RNA". It matches the Rfam family "Bacterial small subunit ribosomal RNA", at positions 28 to 507 of the family's 1533-position model. The record is from RNAcentral.
GACGAACGCUGGCGGCGUGCCUAAUACAUGCAAGUAGAACGCUGAAGGAGGAGCUUGCUUCCCUGGAUGAGUUGCGAACGGGUGAGUAACGCGUAGGUAACCUGCCUGGUAGCGGGGGAUAACUAUUGGAAACGAUAGCUAAUACCGCAUAACAGUAGAUAUCGCAUGAUAUCUACUUGAAAGGUGCAAUUGCAUCACUACCAGAUGGACCUGCGUUGUAUUAGCUAGUUGGUGAGGUAACGGCUCACCAAGGCGACGAUACAUAGCCGACCUGAGAGGGUGAUCGGCCACACUGGGACUGAGACACGGCCCAGACUCCUACGGGAGGCAGCAGUAGGGAAUCUUCGGCAAUGGACGGAAGUCUGACCGAGCAACGCCGCGUGAGUGAAGAAGGUUUUCGGAUCGUAAAGCUCUGUUGUAAGAGAGGAACGAGUGUGAGAGUGGAAAGUUCACACUGUGACGGUAUCUUACCAGAAAGGGACGGCUAACUACGUG